RNAcentral lists this ribosomal RNA (409 nucleotides) under Acanthamoeba genotype T4. RNAcentral describes it as "SSU rRNA". It matches the Rfam family "Eukaryotic small subunit ribosomal RNA", at positions 784 to 1096 of the family's 1831-position model. The record is from RNAcentral. Lineage: Eukaryota; Discosea; Longamoebia; Acanthamoebidae.
AUUUUCUGCCACCGAAUACAUUAGCAUGGGAUAAUGGAAUAGGACCCUGUCCUCCUAUUUUCAGUUGGUUUUGGCAGCGCGAGGACUAGGGUAAUGAUUAAUAGGGAUAGUUGGGGGCAUUAAUAUUUAAUUGUCAGAGGUGAAAUUCUUGGAUUUAUGAAAGAUUAACUUCUGCGAAAGCAUCUGCCAAGGAUGUUUUCAUUAAUCAAGAACGAAAGUUAGGGGAUCGAAGACGAUCAGAUACCGUCGUAGUCUUAACCAUAAACGAUGCCGACCAGCGAUUAGGAGACGUUGAAUACAAAACACCACCAUCGGUGCGGUCGUCCUUGGCGUCGGUCUUUCGGGGCCGGCGCGGGGACGGCUUAGCCCGGUGGCACCGGUGAAUGACUCCCCUAGCAGCUUGUGAGAA